RNAcentral lists this ribosomal RNA (403 nucleotides) under uncultured bacterium. RNAcentral's name for it is "bacterial SSU rRNA". It matches the Rfam family "Bacterial small subunit ribosomal RNA", at positions 30 to 395 of the family's 1533-position model. The record is from RNAcentral.
AUUGAACGCUGGCGGCAUGCUUUACACAUGCAAGUCGAACGGCAGCACAGCAGAGGUAACUCUGUGGGUGGCGAGUGGCGAACGGGUGAGUAAUACAUCGGAACGUACCCUGUUGUGGGGGAUAACUACGCGAAAGCGUAGCUAAUACCGCAUACGCCCUGAGGGGGAAAGCGGGGGACCCUAAAUAGAGCGCACUGGGGAGUGCGUUGUAUUUAGGGCCUCGCGCAAUAGGAGCGGCCGAUGUCGGAUUAGCUAGUUGGUGAGGUAAAGGCUUACCAAGGCGACGAUCCGUAGCUGGUCUGAGAGGAUGAUCAGCCACACUGGGACUGAGACACGGCCCAGACUCCUACGGGAGGCAGCAGUGGGGAAUUUUGGACAAUGGGGGCAACCCUGAUCCAGCCAU